UUCCCUCUAUUCUGACUCUUAAUAUUUACUUACCUCCUCCAAACAGUCGCUUAUUCUCUCGCCGGAGCCUGGUUAAGAGGGAAACCCCCAUAUUCCCCUCUUAACGAGUAACGGUGUUGUGUUUUGCAGGAUUAACAGAUCAUUAAGGAGCUCAGAAAGUCUUAAGAAGAUUAACCCUUAUGGUAGAAACAUAAACCAAACUAAUCAACCCCUAAAAUUAGUUACGUGUUUCUUCAGUAACACUUUUCAAAUUAUACCUAAGUAAGAGGACGCGCUGAUCAUGCUUACAAAGGUUAAAUUUCUCAAACUACGGAACGGUUGGAAUAGGAGAACCAUUGAAGAUUCGAGUACUUAGUGGGCGUUCGUUUUCUAGAAGUCUUAGCUUAUUUGCUUCCGCUGUGCAAUGAAGAUACCGGUCCAGUCACGCCAGCUCUGAUAUUUCAGGGUGUGACGCGCAUAGGGUAGGUAUUUGAGGCUGUAAGGUUUUGAGGAGGUGUAUGAGGGUUGAGGUUGUAAGUCAGGUCACGUUAGGAAUGGGGGGUAUGGUUUGGGUGGUGUUCGGUGCAGGAUUGGUCGGCUUUGGUGGUCUCGGUCUACGCUGAUAACAGUGGGAAUAAGGGACGAUAACCAUUGGUUUGGGCCAAAGAGGAUGUUGGAAAGUAAAUACAUCAGGUAUGGGGUCCUUAAGAAACCGAUAGGUCGAUAUGGGUGUAGGGAUGGUAUAUGGAAAUACUUGAUUGGCUAGUCGAUAGGUCGGUAACAAGGUGAUCAACGACCGUUAGUUGAUUAGCCAAGUCCUUUAGCCGUUGAAAGUAGUCGUCUAGAGACGAGCAUGCAGCAAGGGUGAGGAUGCAAAUUUUUGUUUCCAAGGCGGUAGCACUGGCCUUCUUGUUACUAAGAAAGUUUUUCUCCAAUUUGACCCAACCAUCCCUAGUUGUCGAGUCAGAAGCGAGGACACGAACAAGAAGAUCACCAGAUAUAGUACUGUAGAUCCACUGUAGAACCAGUACAUCGAGCUCUUUCCAAUCCGCAUAGUUUUCAGCCGUGGAUGCAGGUGGUGGAGAACCAUCUAUGUGAUUCGAUACCUUAUAAGGCCACCAUGUUCAAUUAAAAAGCUUAAUCCAGGAUGAGUAGAUGACUUUGAUGCCAUCGAGGGUGCGUAUUUUAGGGUGCGUAUUUUGGUCUGUAUAUUGGUGACAGAAUAUGCAAGGUGGAAUGGGGCGGCCUUGAUGGAAGAUGAUUCAGAUUUAUCUUCGUUAGGCAUGAUUGAGAUCAG
Molecule: long non-coding RNA, 1276 nt
Filed under: Helianthus annuus (common sunflower)
Lineage: Eukaryota; Viridiplantae; Streptophyta; Magnoliopsida; Asterales; Asteraceae
Description: hypothetical non coding rna
Source: RNAcentral